AUUAACUAAUGCCCAUAUUUUUUUCUUAGGUUUUUUUUUGGUUUCGGAUGGUCUAGGGAAGGACCCGGAAGUGUAUCUGCAUUCAUCGAAACUCGUGCGCCUGUUUUCCAGAUGCAAUUUGUAGGAAUCGUCAUUUUGACAGGCCCCUGAGAUCCGAGUUCCAGAAGCAAAUGAGGGAGGCUCUUCGGAUAACGAAGGAGAGACACGCCAACGAAUGCGUGGUCCACGUCCAACAGCCGCAAGGAAGAGGGCGGAGGAUAACUUGUGGAACGAUGAGGAAGAGGAAGAGGACAACAUGGAGGAACCGAGCACCUAAGAAUAUAAAAUUAUGAAAGUGAAGCCCAGAUAGAAGCCAGGAAAAUAGAGGAGAAGCGGCCCGACUCUGAACGCGUUCUUUUUGGUUUCGGAUGAUGUGGGGGAGGAUCCGGAAGUGCAUCUGCACUCACCGAAACUCUUGCGCGCAUCAUCCUCGCGAGACGCCUCUCUUCAUCCUAGAAGCUCCCGCAGCAAGCUGGCCAAUACAGAAUGCAAGGCAAAUGGAGAACCAGGUCGAGAAGAAGGUGAAUAAUGUCUCGUUGAACGUCGAUCCCAUGCUGCCUAUACCACGAG
Harpegnathos saltator (Jerdon's jumping ant) is the source of this 609-nucleotide long non-coding RNA. RefSeq lists it as uncharacterized. The record is from RefSeq and is a predicted model, not a curated record. The transcript has 4 exons. NCBI's taxonomy places the organism in Eukaryota, Metazoa, Arthropoda, Insecta, Hymenoptera, Formicidae.